UGUGACUGGUUGUGACGCAGUUCUAAAAUAGACGAACAACAUUUAAGCUCAGCAGGUCCAAGUAGAGAAGACAUCCCACAAGUCUGAAGUUCUGACUGUCUUCAAAGGAAACUUUUGACAAACUUGGAACUUCAAGGGUUUGUGCAGAUAAUUGGGAAAGUCUUGGUUGUGACUGACAGCUGUCCCUGCAUCAUAAUCUAGGUUCCAGGUUUGACAUCCCAAGUGUACAGUUGCAGCUGGGGAAUAGCUUACAGGUGUCAAUCUUCACAACAUCAGUAUUGAGG
Long non-coding RNA from Branchiostoma belcheri (Belcher's lancelet), 284 nucleotides. RefSeq lists it as uncharacterized. Lineage: Eukaryota; Metazoa; Chordata; Leptocardii; Amphioxiformes; Branchiostomatidae. The transcript is spliced from 3 exons. The record is from RefSeq and is a predicted model, not a curated record.